ACAGCAGCAGCCGCGGUAAUACGUAGGUGGCAAGCGUUAUCCGGAAUUAUUGGGCGUAAAGCGCGCGUAGGCGGUUUUUUAAGUCUGAUGUGAAAGCCCACGGCUCAACCGUGGAGGGUCAUUGGAAACUGGAAAACUUGAGUGCAGAAGAGGAAAGUGGAAUUCCAUGUGUAGCGGUGAAAUGCGCAGAGAUAUGGAGGAACACCAGUGGCGAAGGCGACUUUCUGGUCUGUAACUGACGCUGAUGUGCGAAAGCGUGGGGAUCAAACAGGAUUAGAUACCCCGGUAGUACCUGUCUCUUAUAC
This 305-nucleotide ribosomal RNA is filed under the name uncultured bacterium. RNAcentral's name for it is "partial 16S ribosomal RNA". It matches the Rfam family "Bacterial small subunit ribosomal RNA", at positions 505 to 807 of the family's 1533-position model. The record is from RNAcentral.